This 5343-nucleotide small RNA is filed under the name Pongo abelii (Sumatran orangutan). RNAcentral describes it as "retained intron". Lineage: Eukaryota; Metazoa; Chordata; Mammalia; Primates; Hominidae. The record is from RNAcentral.
GUUAAAAGUAGCAGGGCCCAGAUAUGCCUUCGGACUCCAGUGUGAGCCUCGUCCUUGUUUCCAGCUGGAAGGAAGGCACCCUCUUGCCCAAGACAGGACACUGUGCUGCCUGUGGCAAGCACCUGCUGAAUCCUCGAGCCCAGAGCUUCUUCCUGACACUCAGGCCUUUCAAACCCUGACUCUCAGGGCCACUGCUGCAUAGGGUGACAACCGGGCAUGGCACGCAGUGUGGCUGGUGCAGAGGAGGCUCAAGGCUGGCCUGGGAGAGAUUCUUGGUCUAGCUCCCAGCACGGAGCCUUGCUUGUGUCCCAGGGAGGCACUAACCAGAACCAGAAAAGGAAAUCUUUGGCUCUCGGGGAGAAUUAUGCAAAUUAUCUGUCUGGUUCCUGUCUUUGAAAAUGCCCAGAUGUUGGUUUACAAAUCAGGAAGCUGUCUUGGGGCAAUCUCUGUUCUCUCUUUGAUGCAGAGAGCCUUUCUCUGUAAACACUGGAGAGCAGGGCUUCACUGUCUGGCUCCCCUCCCGCCUCUUGCAGGAAGGACUAGAUGCUGCUGAUCAGCUGAUCAUGGCUGAGCAGGGUAGAGCUUGGGGGCUCUCCUAAGAGGUCACCCACUGGGAGGGAGCCUCACAGCUGUUCUUUUGACCCAGAAAGGAGCUCUUUCAGGACCGUGGCACCCAGAGCCGUGGCCCUCCUGCCAUGCCAUUGUUCCCACUUCCCUGCCCUUGGAGUCUUGGUGACAGCUGACUAGCUGCCCUGAGGGGUCCACCACUCUCACCUUCUCAAUGGUGGCUGCUGCCAUCCUCCUGGGCUCUGUGCACAGAAAGCUUUGGUCCUUCUGAAGGCCACUCUGCCCCUUCCUGCAGCACCAGAUCCCCCUGAGCCGGUACCCACCACUGCUGCCUCCAGCUGGGCCAGACUAGUCUUGGUGUUCGCCCUUCUUCCUGCUUCGGAUAGUAGUGAUAUUUGGGAACAUGACUGUGUUUCCCUGGGGUCCUUUCAGAAGAGACUUAGGAAGCUCCUGCUCAGGAAUCUGGCCCUUUGAAAGAGCCCCUUCAAAGCAGCCUGGGCAGCAGGUAACGUGGUUUCCCUUGCGGCCCCCUCCCCCCAGCUGCAUAGACUCGUGGUUUGAAGUGAACAGAUCUUGUCCGGAACACCCUGCGGACUGACCUGCGGGCUUGCUUGCUGACUCCUCUCAAAGGUGAGCCCGCGUUUGGGGGUGCUCCAGGCUCAAGGCUUGGGGUCAGGUCACUUUGGGGGCCUGCAGUUUAGGGAGCUGGGCUGCCCUUAUGCCACUGAGAAGAAAGCAGGAGCAGAGGGAAGGAGCACCUUAUCAGUGAGCAGUUAGUCAUCCGGAAAUGAUUUUCCCUGGGAAGGACAAGAGAUACAAACCAACAUGGACAGUUAUGAAGAACAGGCUCAGAAGAGUUAGGAUCAGUUGGGGAAGAGACCAGUACAAUCUACAUUACUAAAGAAAGUUCAGGAAUAUCCCCUGGGAAUGUGCACUGGCAGGAAAAGGAGCCUGAGCGCUGGGUUUGUGCCUGGCUUGGCCUCAUCCUCGCUCACCUCUGAGUCUCCGCCUCUUCUCUCGUAACGGGGAUAAUCUCACUCCCUGUUGCCAUAAGGACAUUGCACUUACUAAACAGCCAUGGGCAGUGCAUUGUUCCCUGCAAAGUGCUGGUCAGCGAUCAUUUGACCACUGCUUCUUCCCAUGCCGCUUCCAGAUGAAUCUGAGGCCUCCAGGCCAGACUCGAUCCCUCCAUCCCACAGCACUGGGUGCUGACUCCACACAUCCCCCUGGCUUACUGCUGGGUCUGGCCUCCCCAUUUCUCCCCCAGGGGUACCCCGCUUGCUGCCAACCAUCCACCCCUGACCCCCAUCUCACCUGUCCCUUCCAAGUUCUGGGCUGGCAUUUUCCUUUUUCUGGCAAACAAGUAGACAAAACCCCCAUAAAAACCAAAAGCCCAACUCCAUCUCACAGCCAAAGGUUUUGGGGCCUCUUUUCUUCCCCCCUCCCUUUCUCUCUCUCUUGUUUUUGUUUUCUUUUGUUAGGUUUAUUUUAUUUAUUCCAAGUAAACUCCCAGAACAGAACAGCUGAUGAUGUCAGACAAAUCAGGGACAUGCUCUUUUUACCUCCACCUCAAAAACUGAUGACAAGGGGAGAAGAAAGAGCCAGGGGGAGAGCGAGGCAGGGGAGUAGAACCCGCCCAGGCACAUGGCUGCAAAUUCCCCGUGUGCUGUUUGGCUUCUGGGGUCCUGUGUAGACGCCCCAGCCCCGCCUGCCCUCUCGGGAUGCAGCUGCCCUGGGAUGAGCAGCCAGCCCGAUGGAGCACGACUUAUUUCUUACGGUCCACACAGGGACAGAGAGCCCCUGCUCCAGGGAGGAGGCUCACCGGACCCUGGGGCAGAGCUGAGCUUGGGACACCAGCGGGAACAGGGCACCCCUUCUGCACUGACUUCCAGAUCAUGGUUCUCCCUUCCUCCCUGAGGACACCAAAUUGGAUGAGAGCAAGUUUGAGAGAAGAAUGAAUCAACUGCUAUCCUUCCCCUCACCCCUCAGCCCAGGAGGGAAAGGGCAUUUUCUUUUUCAUCUUUGAAAGGCAUUGUGGGUCUGUCUUUAAAGUGUUUACAAAAAAAAAAUUAUAUAAAAAAAGUCUAGUGUCGACUGGUGUUUUCCCUCGUGAUGUUUACAGCUUGCUGUUUGCUGCCCAGCCAUAACCCACUCAGUGACAGACGAACACAGCUAAGCCCUUGCUGCCAGCCUUCUGACGGCGGGCGAACACACAGUCUCUUCCCCUGCCCCAACUGGCCCUCUCCACCACCAACUUCUCUACUUUGGGUUUGUUUGUUUUUUUUCCUCUCUUUUUCUGGCUGGUUUUUUGCUCUUUUCUCCCCUUGAGACCCUAAUAUCUUGACUUCAUUGCCAAAAAACAACCCAUUGAGAACUUUGUUCCUACUGAUCCCAUCUCUUUUCCCUUUUUUCCUCCUGGUUCCGGUCAGUUCAGAGGAUUUAACAAUCACAAGUGUCCUGCAAAAAUGCCUGAACAUUAUUCUUAGGCCCUCGUGGAUUUUUUUUUUCCAGAAAACUUAAACAAAAAAAGACUUACUAAGAAAUAUGUACAGCUACCCCUGUUUUCAGGCACUAUGUUUGAGAACAUUUUAGCCAUUUGAUGUUCACACGUGGCAUCAGCCCAUGCAAGAUAGGUUUCUGUAUUUAUAUAUUAAAAUACAAAAAAAACUUAUAAAAUGUUUAAAAAAAUGUUCAAAGCUUGGGAGAAAAGCUUUCUUCAUUAGUCAAGGUGUUUUGAUAUGGUAUUAAAAUGUCUAAUAAAAGAUGGCACUGUGUGAUUUUAUUUUAAUGAAGUGUUGUUAUACAAUCAAGAAAUGGGGGCAAGGGCCUGCCCCCCACUCCCUCACCUACCUCCUUAGCAUUCCUUCAGGCUGCUACUCGGGGCUCCAGGUGUGUGAAUUGGUCCUCAGACAGUCAGGCCUGGGUGGAGGGAGAGUGGCAAGUCAGGCGUGCCUCCUACAAGCUUCCUAACCUCUUAAGCAUCAUGGAACCAGUCAGCCCUCCUCUGUGGAGUCAUUGUGCCGGACCUCUGAAAAGCUCUGCAGGGGCCAAGAUGUUGCAGCCACCGGAGGCUGCAAGGAUGUGGGUUCUUCCAGGUGUGGGCCCAGUCCCCCUCCUUCCAGCCUUUGCUCCCCAUCCCACGUUCCACUCGCCCUGCCUGUUGUUCAGUUUGCGUCUCAGUGCUGACUCACGGGCAUGCUUCAUUGAGGCCCAGGAAGAGGCCCUGGUUUGGGGCUGUGCCAGCUCAGAGCCCUUGAACCAGAACCAACUGCUCAGGCUCACAAAAGUUGGCAAAAUGCGGGCUGGGCGGGCAGCUCGGGGCAGGGAGCAGCAGUGCAGGCCUGGCCUGUGUCCCCGUGCCCAGCGGGCUCCCGGAGCAGCAUUCCAGAGCCUCCUGCAGAGCCAGCGAAGGAAAGCUCUGGAGGGAGACGACUCCACCACCUCUCUGCUCUGACCCUUCUCAGGCCCGCCUGAUGUGCUGGACCAUCCCCCUGCUGCCACAGCCCCUGGCUCCGCAGUCACCCUCCAUCAGAUGCUUCCAGAAGCACCUACUCUGUGCAAGGGCGUUCACAACAGGCCAGUGGGCAAACGUGAGCCAGGGCCAGCGGAGAAACUCUAAAGAAGACUCGGUGGUUCAGAGCCUGGGCCUCAGCGCGGGACCCGUCUGGGGUGAAGACCUUGGGGCUAUUGUGAGUCGGCGGCAGGAACGUGGGCUCUAGACUGUGCAUUCAGGCUCUCCUACUUGGCAGAAUAAUCUUGGGGAAACGACUUCAUCUGAACUUCAGAUUUUUCACAUGUGAAGCGGGGACGAAACCGUGCAGCUCAGAGGUCCCUGUGGGGGCCAGGGCAGCUGCCCUGCAGGUCCUGGCACAUGCACAGCAGGCUCCCCAUAGCUUUGUCACCACAAAGGGCACUGUUCUAUUCACAGCACCUCCUGCUUCUGCCUGGCAACUGUGUCUCCCUGUGCUAUAUUUAAUUCCACCAGCAAAGCUGGCGAGGCAGGGCCCAGCCCUGACGGAGAUCUCCUUGCCUGACCCCUGGACCUGGAAAUGGAGGCUUCAUGUGCCCACCUUGGCGGCGUAAGCCUGCUGCUUUGGCAGUGCCACGGGUGAGCCGAGCAGCUGUGAGUUGGGUGGGGCAGGGCUGUAGCCCACGCCGGGUGCUAUUCCAGGCUCUAGGGGCUGGUGCUCAUCCCCACCCCCAGCGACUUCAGUCCUACCUGGCACGCUGCAGCCCUCUGCCGGCUGCGGUGUCCUCUGAAUUCGGACCUAGGUUGCCUGCUUUUGUUGUGGGGGUGGGAUUGGGGCUGUCUGUGCUUCCCAGGUGGAGCUCGUGUUUGCGAUGCUCUAUCCGGACAGCUCUCCAGAAUCCUGUGUUGCCCCUGUUCUGCCUUUCUGGGAUGGGAGAGAACGUGAGGGAGCCGGCAAGCAGGUUCUACCCUCUCUGCUAAGGGCCUAGCACACUUUGUUGAGGUUCCUGGACAUGAGACCCUCACAAAGACCAACCAUUCCUCUAAUAGCCAUUUAAUGGCACUGAGGUUCAUGGGAAAAUGUCCUCAUUCUUAGGAGAUAGAUGCUGGAUUAUAUAGGUGAAUGCCUUCAAGAAAUGUGUAAUUUAAUUCCAAAUGGUUCCCCCCAAAAUACACAAAGCAAAUAAGGCCAAAAUGUUCAUUGUUGAAUCUGCAGUGGCUGGUAUUUCAGUGAACAGUGUGCUUGUUCUUUCAACUUUUCUGUAUGUUUGGAAGUUUUCUUAAUAAAAGAUUGUGGGAAAUGGUCA